This is a non-coding RNA of Apis mellifera (honey bee), 88 nucleotides long. Lineage: Eukaryota; Metazoa; Arthropoda; Insecta; Hymenoptera; Apidae. The record is from RefSeq and is marked provisional.
UUCUACUUUAAAUCGAACGCGUGAGUUUACGUGUAGCAUUGAGCAUUUAAGCGACGUAGACACACGUGUUGGACCUUAGAGUAGAAUU